AAAAUAUUGAAACCAAAUGUUCUUUUUUUCUGUGUAUAGCUGAAGUUCGCGAUGGUUUCCAAAGUGUUGGUGAUAAUUCUAUUGAUGGUAGCAAUUAACGGGGCCGUUGGUGGCUUGACAUGUGGUCAUAACUGCUGGCACAAUGACUGGCGUCAUAGAGAUGACCGAGCAAGAGAUGCUGGGCAGUACGGCAAAAGAUGUUCUGUUGCUUAUUUUUGGGGUGGACGGUGUUAUUGUUAUGGAUGGCCAUUUUGCCGUUAAACUAAACCAAGAACUAGCAAUUAGAACUUGAUUAAUUUGGAAGUAGAGCAAUGAACUCGAUUACUUUGGGAACAAGCAAUUUAACAGAACUUGAUUAAUUUCAUAACUAAGCAAUUAGAACUUGAUUAAUUUGAGGACUAGCAAUUAGGACUUGAUAAAGGUAAACAAUUUGUAGUAUUAUUUCUGUGGUAAUCGCCCGUUCAAUUUAUACGACAAAUCACAAUGAAAUAAAGACUUCUAAAUUUAUUUUUUUUACAAAAUUUCAAUGGAAUUUGAAUUGGGCUGCUUUCGUUGGUAGGAAUGCAACAUAGGCAGAUUUUACUCU
This 586-nucleotide long non-coding RNA is filed under the name Paramuricea clavata. Lineage: Eukaryota; Metazoa; Cnidaria; Anthozoa; Malacalcyonacea; Plexauridae. The record is from RNAcentral.